GUUGUGUUUGAAACCUAUAUUAAAAUUGGAACGAUACAGAAUGUUAAUUAGCACAGUCCCUGCGCAAAGAUGGCAUACAAAUUCGUGAAGCAUUUUUUUUUUUU
Molecule: small nuclear RNA, 104 nt
Organism: Octopus sinensis (East Asian common octopus)
Lineage: Eukaryota; Metazoa; Mollusca; Cephalopoda; Octopoda; Octopodidae
Source: RefSeq, a predicted model, not a curated record